RNAcentral lists this unclassified non-coding RNA (287 nucleotides) under Pleosporales sp. RNAcentral's name for it is "partial contains 5.8S ribosomal RNA, internal transcribed spacer 2, and large subunit ribosomal RNA". The stretch from base 1 to 71 matches the Rfam family "5.8S ribosomal RNA", at positions 84 to 154 of the family's 154-position model. Lineage: Eukaryota; Fungi; Ascomycota; Dothideomycetes; Pleosporales. The record is from RNAcentral.
GUGAAUCAUCGAAUCUUUGAACGCACAUUGCGCCCGUUGGUAUUCCAACGGGCAUGCCUGUUCGAGCGUCAUUGGCCUCUCCAGCUGCUGCUGGGUGCUGGGCGUUUGUUCCGCCGCGUGCGCGAACUCGCCCCAAAUGCAUUGGCCGCCGGGGAUCCCGUCUAGGAGCGCAGCACAGUCCCGCGCCCCCCGACGGGAUCGCGGUGCCCAUCAAGCCGACACUGUACGCUUGACCUCGGAUCAGGUAGGGAUACCCGCUGAACUUAAGCAUAUCAAUAAGCGGAGGA